RNAcentral lists this ribosomal RNA (434 nucleotides) under uncultured archaeon. RNAcentral's name for it is "bacterial SSU rRNA". It matches the Rfam family "Archaeal small subunit ribosomal RNA", at positions 19 to 458 of the family's 1478-position model. The record is from RNAcentral.
GGACCUGACUGCUAUCGGAUUGAUACUAAGCCAUGCGAGUCUUUGUAGUAAUACAAGGCAUACGGCUCAGUAACACGUAGUCAACCUACCCUAUGGACAAGAAUAAUCUCGGGAAACUGAGCAUAAUUCUUGAUAGAUCAUAAUGCCUGGAAUGGUUUAUGGUUAAAAUGAUUCGUCGCCGUAGGAUGGGACUGCGGCCUAUCAGCUUGUUGGUGAGGUAAUGGCCCACCAAGGCGAUUACAGGUACGGGCUCUGAGAGGAGUAGCCCGGAGAUGGGUACUGAGACACGGACCCAGGCCCUAUGGGGCGCAGCAGGCGAGAAAACUUUGCAAUGUGCGAAAGCACGACAAGGUUAAUCCGAGUGGUUUCUGCUAAAGAAACCUUUUGUCAGUCCUAGAAACACUGAUGAAUAAGGGGUGGGCAAGUUCUGGUGU